Molecule: ribosomal RNA, 650 nt
Filed under: uncultured marine bacterium
Lineage: Bacteria
Description: bacterial SSU rRNA
Rfam family: Bacterial small subunit ribosomal RNA
Source: RNAcentral
AGAUGUUGGCGAUAUAUUGUCAGUGUUUUAGAGAAAUCGUUAAGUGAUCCACCUGGGGAGUACGUUCGCAAGAAUGAAACUCAAAGGAAUUGACGGGGGCCCGCACAAGCGGAGGAGCAUGUGGUUUAAUUCGAUGAUACGCGAGGAACCUUACCAAGACUUAAAUGUAUUUUGACAGGUUGAGAAAUCAACUUUUCUUCGGACAAUUUACAAGGUGCUGCAUGGUUGUCGUCAGCUCGUGCCGUGAGGUGUCGGGUUAAGUCCCAUAACGAGCGCAACCCCUAUUUUUAGUUACCAGCGAGUCAUGUCGGGAACUCUAGAAAGACUGCCUGUGUAAACAGUGAGGAAGGUGGGGAUGACGUCAAAUCAUCACGGCCCUUAUGUCUUGGGCUACACACGUGCUACAAUGGUCACUACAGUGGGCUGCCAUCUGGCAACAGAGAGCAAAUCCAUAAAGGUGAUCCCAGUUCGGAUCGGAGUCUGCAACUCGACUCUGUGAAGUUGGAUUCGCUAGUAAUCGUAUAUCAGCAAUGAUACGGUGAAUACGUUCCCGGGCCUUGUACACACCGCCCGUCAAGCCAUGGAAGUUUGUGGUGCCUGAAGUCAGUAACCGUAAGGAUCUGCCUAGGGUAAAACAGAUAACUAGGGCU